AUAACACCUUAAUUAAGGAAGACUUUCAGGGCGUGUUUGGUUCGAAGUCGGAGUCGGAAUCGGAAUCGGAAUCAAAAUAAGCUGGAAUCGGAAUCGGAAUGACUCAUUACCUAAUUCUGUUUGGUUCAUCACCUGAAUCGGAAUCGGAAUAAAUCAUUCUCAUUAUCAGUGUUUGGUUCAGGUGGAUAUAAAAAACGUAAUCAAAUUAAUAUACUAACAUUAUCUUUAUAAUAUAUUAAUUUAAAUUCAAAUUAAAAAUUAAAUAUUAAAAAUUUACAUCAAA
This 283-nucleotide long non-coding RNA is filed under the name Ananas comosus (pineapple). Its description in RNAcentral is "long non-coding RNA (ACOM_LNC008692)". Lineage: Eukaryota; Viridiplantae; Streptophyta; Magnoliopsida; Poales; Bromeliaceae. The record is from RNAcentral.